Molecule: ribosomal RNA, 253 nt
Filed under: uncultured Ferroplasma sp.
Lineage: Archaea; Methanobacteriati; Thermoplasmatota; Thermoplasmata; Thermoplasmatales; Ferroplasmaceae
Description: partial 16S ribosomal RNA
Rfam family: Archaeal small subunit ribosomal RNA
Source: RNAcentral
CACCCGCAGCACAAGUGGUGGUCACUUUUAUUGAGCCUAAAGCGUUCGUAGCCGGUUUUGUAAAUCUCCAGAUAAAGACUGAAGCUUAACUCCAGAAAGUCUGAAGAGACUGCAAGACUUGAGAUCGGGUGAGGUUAAAUGUACUCUCAGGGUAGGGGUAAAAUCCUGUAAUCCUGGAAGGACGACCAGUGGUGAAAACGUUUAACUAGAACGAAUCUGACGGUAAGGAACGAAGGCUAGGGUAGCAAACCGG